CCUGAACAACGAACAUCCGCGCGGGUGCUUAGCUGGAGCCCCCGGGGUGUGAGGAGCUGCAAAGCCCAGGUCCCCAGGGACAAGUCGGAGAAGGGGCCCUGCCCUUAACCUCGGGCCAACCAGCGAUGGACAGAGCCCUGUCAACCCUUGCAGGUGGAGGAAGUGAGCGAAUGUUUAGGGCCGUCGUGGAAGUUCUCUGGUUGUCAUACGGUGGCUUGAGCUGAGAGAGGGGAUUGAAUAUGAGCAGUCGGCCACUCAGGGAUCCGACGACUGGAGUCACGGAGAUAAUACGGGAGGAACCUGCCGCCCCUAGAGCAAGGGGAACAGGUUGGUGUCACCAGGAGCCUAGAAGCCAGGAUGAGGGGGCCUUGAAGAGCCAGAGCCUGGACCUCUGAGGAGGGGCUGCGGCAAUUACUCAGGGAAGGAGAAAACCACCUUAUCCACCGGGAGGGGAAACAGGGCAGGAGAGAGAGACACAGCGAGAGAGGGAACACAAGCAGGGGGAGCGGGAGAGGGAGGAGCAGG
Molecule: long non-coding RNA, 525 nt
Organism: Zalophus californianus (California sea lion)
Lineage: Eukaryota; Metazoa; Chordata; Mammalia; Carnivora; Otariidae
Exons: 4
Source: RefSeq, a predicted model, not a curated record